CAAAGGGAGAAUCCCGGCACUGCACAGUUGCCUAGAAACGGCCACAGAGGGGAGAGCUGCCGGAAGUCUCUCCAGGCUCCGAGACCGAGAAGUGGUGCUAGGGAAGAGGCUUGUAGAGGGAGAGAAGCUGUGCUCAUCCCCAACGGGAAAAUCGCCGGAAACCGCACUAGGUCCUCGGCCCCGCAGGGACCAAUAGGGGCUGACGCUUCCGCAUCCGGGCAUUGGGCGAGACUCUUUCAACCAAUCUUUGGGCGGGCACUGGUGACGUCACUCGUUGUGCUCCAGCGUGUGUCGUCAUCCCACAGCGCCGGAAGUGGUGCGGCUCUGAACAGUGACUCGGCUUGUCUGUCUCCACAGUCUCGAGGCUUUGCCCCAUCCUCGGGCUGUAGGCGUCUCGCUUUGCUCAAGCUCCCUUGGGCCGUUUUUCGGAGGCCCUCAGGUUGGUCGCCGCGCCACCUCACGUUCGUUCACCCGGCCCCCUCCCCUAGCUUGGUCACAACACAAACAGACAAAAGAUUAGAGAAUGGGCACUGUUCAGCCCAAGCAGGCGGCUCAGGUUGUCAGGAAGGACAUUGUUUCCUCCAGAAACGCUCCCUGAAAGGAACUUGAGGGGCGUUCACAUCCUCCUCAACAGGCCUAAUGGGAGGGCCAGAAGAAGCAAGCUUUUCCUCACGCAGCCGGUGUUGGUUCAAUAGAGCAGAGGUAUAAUUUCCAUAUGGAAUUAAUGCCCAGGUUUAGAGCCUUUAGGGAAUCUAACUUAUAUUGGGAAUCAUUAGAAUACUUGAGGCAGGACUGGACACGUGAGGAGACAACACAGAUUUGUGUCCUUCCACCUUAGUUGCACAGUCAGUGCUGUGGGAUGAUCUUACUACUUGUCCUUAGCUCUUGUCUUCAGCGUUAACCAGCGAUAAUAGUGUCAAACUCUUACUUUUUGCUAGACACUGAAAGUGCGUACUUCCUCAUUGAGUCUUGUGACAACCAUGUGUUGUAGAGCAAUUUUUAAAAUAAGAUUAUUUAUGUAUUUAUUCAUGAGAGACACAGAGAGGCAGAGACAUAGGCUGAGGGAGAAGCAGGUUCCCUAUGGGGAGCCGGAUAUGGGACUCCCAUCCCAGGACCCUGGGAUCACAACCUGAGCUGAAGGCAGCCCCUCAACCGCUGAGCCACCCAGGUGCCCCUAGAGAGCAAUUCUUAAUGUUGUUUUACAGCUAAAGAAAUAAAGGCGUAGGUUAAAUAACUGGCA
This 1240-nucleotide long non-coding RNA is filed under the name Canis lupus dingo (dingo). Its description in RNAcentral is "lncRNA (ENSCAFG00020015599.1)". Lineage: Eukaryota; Metazoa; Chordata; Mammalia; Carnivora; Canidae. The record is from RNAcentral.